Molecule: ribosomal RNA, 485 nt
Filed under: uncultured bacterium
Lineage: Bacteria
Description: partial 16S ribosomal RNA
Rfam family: Bacterial small subunit ribosomal RNA
Source: RNAcentral
GACGAACGCUGGCGGCGUGCUUAACACAUGCAAGUCGAACGGUGAAAGCGGAGCUUGCUCCGCUGGAUCAGUGGCGAACGGGUGAGUAACACGUGGGCAACCUGCCCCUCACUUCGGGAUAACUCCGGGAAACCGGGGCUAAUACCGGAUAUGACCUCCUUGGGCAUCCUUGGAGGUGGAAAGUUUUUCGGUGAGGGAUGGGCCCGCGGCCUAUCAGCUUGUUGGUGAGGUAGUGGCUCACCAAGGCGACGACGGGUAGCCGGCCUGAGAGGGCUACCGGCCCGACUGGGACGGAGACACGGCCCAGACUCCUACGGGAGGCAGCAGUGGGAAAUAUUGCGCAAUGGGCGAAAACCUGACGCAGCAACGCCGCGUGCGGGAUGACGGCUUUCGGGUUGUAAACCGCUUUCAGCAGGGAAGAAGCCGCAAGGUGACGGUACCUGCAGAAGAAGCACCGGCUAACUACGUGCCAGCCGCCGCGGUAA